Molecule: ribosomal RNA, 497 nt
Filed under: uncultured bacterium
Lineage: Bacteria
Description: partial 16S ribosomal RNA
Rfam family: Bacterial small subunit ribosomal RNA
Source: RNAcentral
GAUGAACGCUGGCGGCGUGCCUAAUACAUGCAAGUCGAGCGAACAGACGAGGAGCUUGCUCCUCUGACGUUAGCGGCGGACGGGUGAGUAACACGUGGAUAACCUACCUAUAAGACUGGGAUAACUUCGGGAAACCGGAGCUAAUACCGGAUAAUAUAUUGAACCGCAUGGUUCAAUAGUGAAAGACGGUUUUGCUGUCACUUAUAGAUGGAUCCGCGCCGCAUUAGCUAGUUGGUAAGGUAACGGCUUACCAAGGCAACGAUGCGUAGCCGACCUGAGAGGGUGAUCGGCCACACUGGAACUGAGACACGGUCCAGACUCCUACGGGAGGCAGCAGUAGGGAAUCUUCCGCAAUGGGCGAAAGCCUGACGGAGCAACGCCGCGUGAGUGAUGAAGGUCUUCGGAUCGUAAAACUCUGUUAUUAGGGAAGAACAAAUGUGUAAGUAACUAUGCACGUCUUGACGGUGCCUAAUCAGAAAGCCACGGCUAACUACGUG